AAUAGAUACCCUGGUAGUCCACGCAGUAAACGAUGCAGACUAGGCGUGGGGGGGACUUGACCCCCUCCGUGCCGGAGCUAACGCGUGAAGUCUGCCGCCUGGGGAGUACGGCCGCAAGGCUAAAACUCAAAGGAAUUGACGGGGGGCCCGCACAAGCGGCGGAGCGUGCGGUUUAAUUCGACGCAACGCGUAGAACCUUACCAGGGUUUGACAUGCACCUGCAGAGCCGUGAAAGCGGUUGGCCUUCGAGGGUGGUGCACAGGUGCUGCAUGGCUGUCGUCAGCUCGUGUCGUGAGAUGUUGGGUUAAGUCCCGCAACGAGCGCAACCCUCGUGGCUAGUUGCCGAUGUUUCUAGCCAGACUGCCGGUAGCAAGCCGGAGGAAGGUGGGGAUGAUGUCAAGUCAGCAUGGCCCUUACAUCCUGGGCUACACGCACGCUACAAUGGCCGGGACAAUGGGCAGCCAAACCGCAAGGUGGAGCGAAUCCCCCAAACCCGGUCUCAGUUCAGAUCGCGGGCUGCAACUCGCCC
This 529-nucleotide ribosomal RNA is filed under the name uncultured bacterium. RNAcentral's name for it is "bacterial SSU rRNA". It matches the Rfam family "Bacterial small subunit ribosomal RNA", at positions 777 to 1317 of the family's 1533-position model. The record is from RNAcentral.